RNAcentral lists this ribosomal RNA (253 nucleotides) under uncultured bacterium. RNAcentral's name for it is "partial 16S ribosomal RNA". It matches the Rfam family "Bacterial small subunit ribosomal RNA", at positions 524 to 776 of the family's 1533-position model. The record is from RNAcentral.
UACGUAGGGGCCGAGCGUUGUCCGGAGUUAUUGGGCGUAAAGCGCGCGCAGGCGGCCUCGCGCGCCCGACGUGAAAGCCCCCGGCUUAACCGGGGAGGGUCGUUGGGGACGGCGGGGCUUGAGGGCGGGAGAGGUCGGUGGAAUUCCCGGUGUAGUGGUGAAAUGCGUAGAGAUCGGGAGGAACACCAGUGGCGAAGGCGGGUCUCUGGGCCGAUACUGACGCUGAGGAGCGAAAGCGUGGGGAGCGAACAGG